ACUCCUACGGGGAGGCAGCAGUGGGGAAUAUUGCACAAUGGGCGCAAGCCUGAUGCAGCCAUGCCGCGUGUGUGAAGAAGGCCUUCGGGUUGUAAAGCACUUUCAGUUGUGAGGAAAGGUUAGUCGCUAAUAUCCGCUAGCUGUGACGUUAGCAACAGAAGAAGCACCGGCUAACUCCGUGCCAGCAGCCGCGGUAAUACGGAGGGUGCGAGCGUUAAUCGGAAUUACUGGGCGUAAAGCGCGUGUAGGUGGCUUGUUAAGCCAGAUGUGAAAGCCCCGGGCUCAACCUGGGAACUGCAUUUGGAACUGGCAGGCUAGAGUUUUGUAGAGGGUGGUAGAAUUUCAGGUGUAGCGGUGAAAUGCGUAGAGAUCUGAAGGAAUACCGGUGGCGAAGGCGACCACCUGGCCAAUAACUGACACUGAGACGCGAAGGCGUGGGUAGCAAACGGGAUUAGAUACCCUGUAGGCUCUG
Molecule: ribosomal RNA, 472 nt
Filed under: uncultured bacterium
Lineage: Bacteria
Description: bacterial SSU rRNA
Rfam family: Bacterial small subunit ribosomal RNA
Source: RNAcentral